GGUUGAUCCUGCCAGUAG
Molecule: non-coding RNA, 18 nt
Filed under: Xenopus tropicalis (tropical clawed frog)
Lineage: Eukaryota; Metazoa; Chordata; Amphibia; Anura; Pipidae
Also listed under: 3 other names
Source: RNAcentral